CCUACGGGGGGCAGCAGUAGGGAAUUUUCCGCAAUGGGCGAAAGCCUGACGGAGCAACGCCGCGUGCAGGAGGAAGGCCCUAGUGUCGUAAACUGCUUUUAUCUGUGACGCGGUAGCAGAAGAAUAAGGAUCGGCUAAUUCCGUGCCAGCAGCCGCGGUCAUACGGAAGAUCCGAGCGUUAUCCGGAAUUACUGGGCGUAAAGAGUGCGUAGGUGGCAUAGUAAGCGAGCAGUGAAAGACUCCGGCUCAACCGGAGGUACAUUGUUAGAACUACUAAGCUAGAACAUAGUAGAGGUACCUGGAAUUCCAAGUGUAGGAGUGAAAUCCGUAGAUAUUUGGAGGAACACCGAUGGCGUAGGCAGGGUACUGGGCUAUGUUGACACUAAGGCACGAAAGCGUGGGGAGCGAACGGGAUUAGAUACCCUUGUAGUC
RNAcentral lists this ribosomal RNA (432 nucleotides) under uncultured bacterium. Its description in RNAcentral is "partial 16S ribosomal RNA". It matches the Rfam family "Bacterial small subunit ribosomal RNA", at positions 338 to 795 of the family's 1533-position model. The record is from RNAcentral.